AUAGGGGAGCCGGAGGGAAACCGAGUCUUAAUUGGGCGUUAAGUUGCAGGGUAUAGACCCGAAACCCGGUGAUCUAGCCAUGGGCAGGUUGAAGGUUGGGUAACACUAACUGGAGGACCGAACCGACUAAUGUUGAAAAAUUAGCGGAUGACCUGUGGCUGGGGGUGAAAGGCCAAUCAAACCGGGAGAUAGCUGGUUCUCCCCGAAAGCUAUUUAGGUAGCGCCUCGUGAAUUCAUCUCCGGGGGUAGAGCACUGUUUCGGCUAGGGGGCCAUCCCGGCUUACCAACCCGAUGCAAACUGCGAAUACCGGAGAAUGUUAUCACGGGAGACACACGGCGGGUGCUAACGUCCGUCGUGAAGAGGGAAACAACCCAGACCGCCAGCUAAGGUCCCAAAGUCAUGGUUAAGUGGGAAACGAUGUGGGAAGGCCCAGACAGCCAGGAUGUUGGCUUAGAAGCAGCCAUCAUUUAAAGAAAGCGUAAUAGCUCACUGGUCGAGUCGGCCUGCGCGGAAGAUGUAACGGGGCUAAACCAUGCACCGAAGCUGCGGCAGCGACACUCAGGUGUUGUUGGGUAGGGGAGCGUUCUGUAAGCCUGUGAAGGUGUGUCGUGAGGCAUGCUGGAGGUAUCAGAAGUGCGAAUGCUGACAUAAGUAACGAUAAAGCGGGUGAAAAGCCCGCUCGCCGGAAGACCAAGGGUUCCUGUCCAACGUUAAUCGGGGCAGGGUGAGUCGACCCCUAAGGCGAGGCCGAAAGGCGUAGUCGAUGGGAAACGGGUUAAUAUUCCCGUACUUGGUGUUACUGCGAAGGGGGGACGGAGAAGGCUAUGUUGGCCGGGCGACGGUUGUCCCGGUUUAAGCGUGUAGGUGUGUGUUCCAGGUAAAUCCGGUUCACUUUAACACUGAGGCGUGACGACGAGGCACUACGGUGCUGAAGCAACAAAUGCCCUGCUUCCAGGAAAAGCCUCUAAGCAUCAGGUAACAUCAAAUCGUACCCCAAACCGACACAGGUGGUCAGGUAGAGAAUACCAAGGCGCUUGAGAGAACUCGGGUGAAGGAACUAGGCAAAAUGGUGCCGUAACU
RNAcentral lists this ribosomal RNA (1081 nucleotides) under Salmonella enterica subsp. enterica serovar Abony. RNAcentral describes it as "partial 23S ribosomal RNA". It matches the Rfam family "Bacterial large subunit ribosomal RNA", at positions 657 to 1735 of the family's 2925-position model. The record is from RNAcentral. Lineage: Bacteria; Pseudomonadati; Pseudomonadota; Gammaproteobacteria; Enterobacterales; Enterobacteriaceae.